Molecule: transfer RNA, 75 nt
Filed under: Klebsiella aerogenes
Lineage: Bacteria; Pseudomonadati; Pseudomonadota; Gammaproteobacteria; Enterobacterales; Enterobacteriaceae
Also listed under: 1 other name
Description: tRNA-Ala
Rfam family: tRNA
About the family: Transfer RNA (tRNA) molecules are approximately 80 nucleotides in length. Their secondary structure includes four short double-helical elements and three loops (D, anti-codon, and T loops). Further hydrogen bonds mediate the characteristic L-shaped molecular structure. tRNAs have two regions of fundamental functional importance: the anti-codon, which is responsible for specific mRNA codon recognition, and the 3' end, to which the tRNAs corresponding amino acid is attached (by aminoacyl-tRNA synthetases). tRNAs cope with the degeneracy of the genetic code in two manners: having more than one tRNA (with a specific anti-codon) for a particular amino acid; and 'wobble' base-pairing, i.e. permitting non-standard base-pairing at the 3rd anti-codon position.
Source: RNAcentral
GGGCUAUAGCUCAGCUGGGAGAGCGCUUGCAUGGCAUGCAAGAGGUCAGCGGUUCGAUCCCGUCAUCACCCACCA